This is a non-coding RNA of Chrysemys picta bellii (western painted turtle), 263 nucleotides long. The record is from RefSeq and is a predicted model, not a curated record. Lineage: Eukaryota; Metazoa; Chordata; Testudines; Emydidae.
AGAGUAACAAGUUUGUGGAUAGAGGGGAAGCAGUAGACAUGGUGUAUCUUGACUUUAGUUUGUUUAGGAGAAGGUCAUGCAUGACAGGAUCAAAAGCCUUACUAGAGAAAUACAGCUGAGAUGGAACUACCAUUAGGCUGCAGUGUUACGUCCCAUCCUUCCAGGGACCAGGGAAGGGAAAUGGCUGCCGUGGAGCCAGCUCAGAGGCCGGUGACUUUCGAGGAGGUGGCUGUGUAUUUCACCGAGGAAGAGUGGGCUCUGCU